UACGGAGGGUGCAAGCGUUAUCCGGAUUCACUGGGUUUAAAGGGUGCGUAGGCGGGUAUGUAAGUCCGUGGUGAAAUCUCCGAGCUUAACUCGGAAACUGCCAUGGGUACUGCGUAUCUUGAAUGUUGUGGAGGUGAGCGGAAUAUGUCAUGUAGCGGUGAAAUGCUUAGAUAUGACAUAGAACACCAAUUGCGAAGGCAGCUCACUACACAAAUAUUGACGCUGAGGCACGAAAGCGUGGGGAUCAAACAGG
RNAcentral lists this non-coding RNA (253 nucleotides) under uncultured bacterium. Its description in RNAcentral is "partial 16S ribosomal RNA". It matches the Rfam family "Bacterial small subunit ribosomal RNA", at positions 524 to 776 of the family's 1533-position model. The record is from RNAcentral. RNAcentral also lists the same sequence under 3 other names.